GACGAACGCUGGCGGUGUGCUUAACACAUGCAAGUCGAACGGUAAGGCCCUUUCGGGGGUACAUGAGUGGCGAACGGGUGAGUAACAAGUGAGUAACUUGCCCUCAUCUCUGGGAUAACAGUCGGCAACGAAUGCUAAUACAUGCCGUGAGCUUGCUAGGCAUCUUGGGGGGUGGAAGGAUUUUUUCUGGUGGGGGAUGGGGUCGCGGGGUAUCUGCGUGUUGGUGAGGGAGUGGCGCACCAAGACUUCGAGGGGUAGCCGGCCUGAGAGGGGGACAGGCGACAGUGGGACGGUGAGACGCGGCAAACUCCUACAGGAGGCAGCAGUGGGGAAUAUCGUACAAUGUACGGAAGUCUGAUGUAGCAACGCCGCGUGCGGGAUGACGGCGUUCGCGUUGUAUACCGCGUUCAAUUGUGACGAAGAGCUUUUGUGACGGUAGCAGGAGAAGAAGCACCGGCUAACUACGUG
This 468-nucleotide ribosomal RNA is filed under the name uncultured bacterium. RNAcentral describes it as "partial 16S ribosomal RNA". It matches the Rfam family "Bacterial small subunit ribosomal RNA", at positions 28 to 507 of the family's 1533-position model. The record is from RNAcentral.